ACUUAAAUAGCUUAUAUAGAGCGCGACACUGAAGAUGUUGAUGAGGUAUUUUACCUUUGAGUA
This 63-nucleotide transfer RNA is filed under the name Astalotermes sp. E JRA-2021a. RNAcentral's name for it is "tRNA-Phe". The record is from RNAcentral. Lineage: Eukaryota; Metazoa; Arthropoda; Insecta; Blattodea; Termitidae.